AUUGAACGCUGGCGGCAGGCCUAACACAUGCAAGUCGAGCGAGCGGCGGACGGGUGAGUAAUGUCUGGGAAACUGCCUGAUGGAGGGGGAUCACUACUGGAAACGGUAGCUAAUACCGCAUACCAUCAGAUGUGCCCAGAUGGGAUUAGCUGGUAGGUGGGGUAACGGCUCACCUAGGCGACGAUCCCUAGCUGGGCUGAGAGGAUGACCAGCCACACUGGAACUGAGACACGGUGCAGACUCCUACGUGAGGCAGCAGUGGGGAAUAUGGCACAAUGGGCGAAAGCCUGAUGCAGCCAUGCCGCGUGUGUGAAGAAGGCCUUCGGGUGGUAAAGCACUUUCAGCGAGGAGGCGUUACUCGCAGAAGAAGCACCGGCUAACUCCGUGCCAGCAGCCGCGGUAAUAC
RNAcentral lists this ribosomal RNA (406 nucleotides) under uncultured bacterium. RNAcentral's name for it is "partial 16S ribosomal RNA". It matches the Rfam family "Bacterial small subunit ribosomal RNA", at positions 29 to 526 of the family's 1533-position model. The record is from RNAcentral.